CCACUCCUCACAAGUAACAAACAAGCGCGUCUCUGUGGAACAUGUAGGAUUUUCUGCCAGUGCCACCCUGCUAAACUGGUUAACGCCAGGAGAAAGCGAAACUUAGGAGGGCCCAAAUCGGUCAGGAAAAUUUGGUUAAUGUGCAGGGUUCAGUGAAGCACUGGCACACACCCAACAGGUUGCUCGAGGAUCCCCAGUUAAUUUCCAGUAAAUUUCCAGAAUGCUUCUUAAGUUCUUUAAACGAACCUUGGUGCCUAAUAAAGAAGACACUGAAAGCCACCCAGCGCACAGACAAAGGCAAUGUGACUGCUUCAAAUGGGCUCCACGAACUCCUUGGGCACACCACAAGGCCUGACAGGAACUUAACCUCGGAAAACACGGCGCAGAAGAAAAUUAUGUUAUUCAGUGAACAUUUUCAAAUCUACACAAGUAUAUCAUUUGUGCACCAUCCUGGCAGAAGUUGGAUCUGGAGGUGCAGAAAAUAUGCCACAGAAUUAUACAGCAUGUUGGAAAAUUCACUUGUACCGUUAAAUGCCAACUAGUAACACCAAGCAGCAAACAGGAAAGAUACCACCUGCAUCAUCAGGAGAUGCACAUUUGCAUUUUUGAGUUCUAUUCCCUAUUCUUCAGGCAUAUGAACUAACAUUCAAGAUACAUUUUGGAAUAAAGAUGGAAGAAUUUGAUUGUAGUGGCUCCAAAAAGCAAAAGCAUGGAGACAUCUGUUUUUCAGCCACCAAGCUCUGACCA
Long non-coding RNA from Pezoporus flaviventris, 747 nucleotides. RefSeq lists it as uncharacterized. The record is from RefSeq and is a predicted model, not a curated record. Lineage: Eukaryota; Metazoa; Chordata; Aves; Psittaciformes; Psittacidae. The transcript has 3 exons.